AGAACAUAGUAGCUGCAGGUUGAUGUACUGUGCGCAUGGGGUCUGUCAGCAGACCGAGGCCGUUACAUGCGGGGGAUGUAUCAUCCUAAUGAUUAUCUAGUCUACAGAACAAUUAUGGCUGCCUUUUAUUCAUUGCUGGCAGUUAAAGAUUGUGUAUGGGUUUUUUACUACAAUGGUCAUUGUGUCACUUGUCUGGGAGAGAAUAUAAUGAUAUAUUUUCGUGACUUGCAAAUUUUAUGAGAAUUUACCAUAUUUGUGAUAAAAUCCCUUGAUGUAUGCGUUUCACAUGCUGCAUAUAUAUUU
RNAcentral lists this unclassified non-coding RNA (303 nucleotides) under Hevea brasiliensis (rubber tree). Lineage: Eukaryota; Viridiplantae; Streptophyta; Magnoliopsida; Malpighiales; Euphorbiaceae. The record is from RNAcentral.